AUACAGAGGGUGCAAGCGUUAAUCGGAAUUACUGGGCGUAAAGCGUGCGUAGGUGGAUAUUUAAGUCAUAUGUGAAAGCCCCGGGCUUAACCUGGGAAUUGCAUCUGAUACUGGGUAUCUAGAGUAUGGUAGAGGAUAGUGGAAUUUCCGGUGUAGCGGUGAAAUGCGUAGAUAUCGGAAGGAACACCAGUGGCGAAGGCGACUGUCUGGGCCAAUACUGACACUGAGGUACGAAAGCGUGGGUAGC
Molecule: ribosomal RNA, 247 nt
Filed under: uncultured bacterium
Lineage: Bacteria
Description: partial 16S ribosomal RNA
Rfam family: Bacterial small subunit ribosomal RNA
Source: RNAcentral